CCUACGGGUGGCUGCAGUGGGGAAUAUUGCACAAUGGGCGCAAGCCUGAUGCAGCCAUGCCGCGUGUAUGAAGAAGGCCUUCGGGUUGUAAAGCACUUUCAGCGGGGAGGAAGGCGGUGAGGUUAAUAACCUCAUCGAUUGACGUUACCCGCAGAAGAAGCACCGGCUAACUCCGUGCCAGCAGCCGCGGUAAUACGGAGGGUGCAAGCGUUAAUCGGAAUUACUGGGCGUAAAGCGCACGCAGGCGGUCUGUCAAGUCGGAUGUGAAAUCCCCGGGCUCAACCUGGGAACUGCAUUCGAAACUGACAGGCUAGAGUCUUGUAGAGGGGGGUAGAAGUCCAGGUGUAGCGGUGAAAUGCGUAGAGAUCUGGAGGAAUACCGGUGGCGAAGGCGGCCCCCUGGACAAAGACUGACGCUCAGGUGCGAAAGCGUGGGGAGCAAACAGGAUUAGAUACCCGUGUAGUC
This 465-nucleotide ribosomal RNA is filed under the name uncultured Klebsiella sp. Its description in RNAcentral is "bacterial SSU rRNA". It matches the Rfam family "Bacterial small subunit ribosomal RNA", at positions 338 to 795 of the family's 1533-position model. Lineage: Bacteria; Pseudomonadati; Pseudomonadota; Gammaproteobacteria; Enterobacterales; Enterobacteriaceae. The record is from RNAcentral.